RNAcentral lists this ribosomal RNA (491 nucleotides) under uncultured bacterium. RNAcentral describes it as "partial 16S ribosomal RNA". It matches the Rfam family "Bacterial small subunit ribosomal RNA", at positions 29 to 507 of the family's 1533-position model. The record is from RNAcentral.
AGUGAACGCUGGCGGUAGCCUAACACAUGCCAGUCGAACGGCAGCACCGUAAGAGCUUGCUCUUACGGGUGGCGAGUGGCGGACGGGUGAGGAAUACAUCGGAAUCUACUUUUUCGUGGGGGAUAACGUAGGGAAACUUACGCUAAUACCGCAUACGACCUACGGGUGAAAGCAGGGGAUCUUCGGACCUUGCGCGAUUGAAUGAGCCGAUGUCGGAUUAGCUAGUUGGCGGGGUAAAGGCCCACCAAGGCGACGAUCCGUAGCUGGUCUGAGAGGAUGAUCAGCCACACUGGAACUGAGACACGGUCCAGACUCCUACGGGAGGCAGCAGUGGGGAAUAUUGGACAAUGGGCGCAAGCCUGAUCCAGCCAUACCGCGUGGGUGAAGAAGGCCUUCGGGUUGUAAAGCCCUUUUGUUGGGAAAGAAAAGCAGCAGGUUAAUACCCCGCUGUUCUGACGGUACCCAAAGAAUAAGCACCGGCUAACUUCGUG